UACCUUUGCACGCAAAUCAGGAUACACCUGUAUACAUAAUAAUUAUUUAAAUAAUAUUAGCAUG
Molecule: regulatory RNA element, 64 nt
Organism: Flavobacterium akiainvivens
Lineage: Bacteria; Pseudomonadati; Bacteroidota; Flavobacteriia; Flavobacteriales; Flavobacteriaceae
Rfam family: S15-Flavobacteria ribosomal protein leader
Source: Rfam